UACAGAGGGGGCAAGCGUUGUUCGGAAUUACUGGGCGUAAAGGGCGCGUAGGCGGCCUGCUAAGUCGAACGUGAAAUCCCCGGGCUUAACCCGGGAACUGCGUCUGAUACUGGAUGGCUUGAAUCCGGGAGAGGGAUGCAGAAUUCCAGGUGUAGCGGUGAAAUGCGUAGAUAUCUGGAGGAAUACCGGUGGCGAAGGCGGCAUCCUGGACCGGCAUUGACGCUGAGGAGCGAAAGCUAGGGGAGCAAACGGG
Molecule: ribosomal RNA, 253 nt
Filed under: uncultured bacterium
Lineage: Bacteria
Description: partial 16S ribosomal RNA
Rfam family: Bacterial small subunit ribosomal RNA
Source: RNAcentral